UGCCAGCCGCCGCGGUAAUACGGAGGGUGCAAGCGUUAAUCGGAAUUACUGGGCGUAAAGCGCGCGUAGGCGGUACGGUAAGUCAGAUGUGAAAUCCCAGGGCUCAACCUUGGAAGUGCACCCAAAACUGCUGGACUUGAGUCCCGGAGGGGCCCAGAGAAUUCCCGGUGUAGAGGUGAAAUUCGUAGAUAUCGGGAGGAAUACCAGUGGCGAAGGGGCUGGGCUGGACGGGUACUGACGCUGAGGCACGAAAGCGUGGGGAGCGAACAGGAUUAGAUA
RNAcentral lists this ribosomal RNA (279 nucleotides) under uncultured bacterium. Its description in RNAcentral is "partial 16S ribosomal RNA". It matches the Rfam family "Bacterial small subunit ribosomal RNA", at positions 506 to 784 of the family's 1533-position model. The record is from RNAcentral.